AAAAGCGCCUUUUAUGUGAGAAAGGGAGAAUAGUUGCCUGACAAGCCGAGUGACGCACAGAGAAGUGAUGCUUAUUCAUGAAUGCACUGGAGAAGCUCUUCGUCUCACAGCAACGCAUGCCUUUGAUAGAUGCUGUCGACAACUUACUGAGCAUGCGCAGUGGCGGACAGCACUGAAGCCGUAAUUAUUUUGUUAAUUGGCAAAACAGUUUUAAGGUCCAGCUCUCUGAGAGAAAAGGUGACCGGCUAAAUCCUCAGAAGCCUGUCAGAUGUUAUUGGGGGAAAACAGGACAAGGACACUUCACUUUAAUGAGGCAUAGGAAAUGGCUUCAUUCCCAACAACAAGGAUUUUUCCCAUUGUUGAAAAUGCUUUUAAAGCAUCCAAGAAGCACAAAAACAAGAAAGUGAAGAAGGAAAAAAAGGAUAAGAGGAAAACCAAGUGUGUGCCAAACUUCUUCUUGCAUGAUGGCUGCUGUGAGACAGAGUUGACACAAACGCAAAACACCAAG
Molecule: long non-coding RNA, 508 nt
Organism: Megalobrama amblycephala (Wuchang bream)
Lineage: Eukaryota; Metazoa; Chordata; Actinopteri; Cypriniformes; Xenocyprididae
Exons: 5
Source: RefSeq, a predicted model, not a curated record